Molecule: non-coding RNA, 573 nt
Organism: Salmo salar (Atlantic salmon)
Lineage: Eukaryota; Metazoa; Chordata; Actinopteri; Salmoniformes; Salmonidae
Source: RefSeq, a predicted model, not a curated record
GAGUAGGGGGGUGUUAAUUCUAUUCUAUAUAAUUUUGAAAUUAGUGAGUAUAGUGUUAGAUGGUAGGGUAUUUAUUCAGUACAUUUGUUUCUUUUUCAAGUAAAGUAUAAGGGAGUUGUACUCCAGGCUAGUAGGUGGCGGUAAUGCAACAAAUUGGAUGCCAACCGCCGUUAAACCUCAGAAGAAGAAGAUUGUUUGGAACGUCAUUAGACGGAAAAGGAAGAACGUCAUUAGACGGAAGAGGAAGGAAAGUGUGUUUGAAACUAAACUCUCUAGUAACAACCAGCAUCAAACGUAACAUUGCUUGUCAAAUGGAUAUCAUUUCUCGUUAUGGUUUGUAGUUAUGCUGGCUUUGCUUCUGCUGUCUUUCUACAACAUCCGAAGUUUCCCUGGCACACAAACGUACUUGUUUCAUUUCGAAUGCUAAGCCGGACAGGAAAAUGGUCCAAUUCACACACUGAUCAAGACAACAUCCCUGGUCGUCCCUACUGCCUCUGAUCUGGAGGACUCACUAAACAGAGAACAUCCCUGGUCAUCCCUACUGCCUCUGAUCUGGAGGACUCACUAAACAGA